UGAUGCCAGGGGCAAAAGCCUGAAACUACGAUGUGCUUGCACAGGAGUGCUUUUAUGGCUUAAUGCCCCGCCCGACGUGAGCAUAAAAGUGAAGCGGAAGCUUCACGAUAUGCGAAUGGCGGACAGAAUUGUGGGAGUACGAAGUACGGAACAAUUCGUAUGGCAUCU
RNAcentral lists this small RNA (168 nucleotides) under Firmicutes bacterium CAG:56. RNAcentral describes it as "Clostridiales-1 RNA". It matches the Rfam family "Clostridiales-1 RNA". The record is from Rfam by way of RNAcentral. Lineage: Bacteria; Bacillati; Bacillota.